This is a long non-coding RNA of Juglans microcarpa x Juglans regia, 180 nucleotides long. RefSeq lists it as uncharacterized. The record is from RefSeq and is a predicted model, not a curated record. NCBI's taxonomy places the organism in Eukaryota, Viridiplantae, Streptophyta, Magnoliopsida, Fagales, Juglandaceae. The transcript is spliced from 3 exons.
AUUAGGCUUUCUCUACUGUCCUUGAAAACUUUACAUUGAUAUUUAGUGGUUGAAGUUGAAGGGUUUGUUAUGCAGUAGUGGGGUGGCUUGAUUGAGUCAACCCCCUAUGCGGUCCGAAAACUCUUGGGAUUUGAAAAAGUUGAAUUGUUUAUUAUAUUUUGUAUACGAGUUUUAAAAAAU